RNAcentral lists this ribosomal RNA (255 nucleotides) under uncultured Acholeplasma sp. Its description in RNAcentral is "partial 16S ribosomal RNA". It matches the Rfam family "Bacterial small subunit ribosomal RNA", at positions 1128 to 1382 of the family's 1533-position model. The record is from RNAcentral. Lineage: Bacteria; Bacillati; Mycoplasmatota; Mollicutes; Acholeplasmatales; Acholeplasmataceae.
AAGUUGGGGACUCUAGCGAGACUGCCAGUGAUAAACUGGAGGAAGGUGGGGAUGACGUCAAAUCAUCAUGCCCCUUAUGACCUGGGCUACAAACGUGAUACAAUGGCUGAAACAAAGGGCAGCGAAGCAGUGAUGUGGAGCGAAACCCAAAAAAGCAGUCUCAGUUCGGAUUGAAGUCUGCAACUCGACUUCAUGAAGUCGGAAUCGCUAGUAAUCGCGGAUCAGAACGCCGCGGUGAAUACGUUCUCGGGGUUU